UACGGGGGGGGGCAAGCGUUGUUCGGAAUUACUAGGCGUAAAGGGCGCGUAGGUGGCCUGUUAAGUCGAACGUGAAAUCCCCGGGCUCAACCCGGGAACUGCGUCCGAGACUGGCAGGCUUGAAUCCGGGAGAGGGAUGUGGAAUUCCAGGUGUAGCGGUGAAAUGCGUAGAUAUUGGGAGGAACACCAGUGGCGAAGGCGGCUCACUGGACCGGAACUGACGCUGAGGCGCGAAAGCGUGGGGAGCAAACAGG
This 254-nucleotide ribosomal RNA is filed under the name uncultured bacterium. RNAcentral's name for it is "partial 16S ribosomal RNA". It matches the Rfam family "Bacterial small subunit ribosomal RNA", at positions 524 to 776 of the family's 1533-position model. The record is from RNAcentral.